UUCUGUACCAGAGAGAUGAUCACCCAAACCCAAAAAAGUUAAUUAAUUUUGGACUUUCACUUUGAUGAAUCUUUCUUUCCAUCAUUUUAAAAGUUCUUCGAAUAAAAUUACGAAGCCGUCGACUCUCUCAAAAGAAAAGAUUGCUCUCCAAAUAGAUUUUGAUGGGAUCCAUCGAUGAAGGUUUUCAAUCUCAGGCUGAAAGCAUCUUUGUAUCCUUAGCUUUUUCUCGAUUUUCUUCUUCUGCGCCGUCGUUACUGGCAAAAGCAAUCAAGUUCGGUUGGUCCUUCUCCGACACAUGUGUAUAAGCGGGAGUGGAAGCAAGGGAAGACACGCCUUGUGGAAGCCGUGGUGUGGAGAUAGCGAAGUGGAUAUACGGAGACAGUGGAUAUAAAGGUGAUGGUUACUCGAGAUGAAGAGGUGAAAGACGUGAGGGUGGGAGAUAUGGAGGUGAAAGCCAUGAUAGAAGUGGUGGUGGAUACCGGAGUAGAGGUUGUGGUGGUCAUGGAUACGGAAACGGUGGAUAUGGAGACUAAGGUGGUGGAUACCGGAGUGGAGGUUAUAGUGGUCAUGGAUACGGAAGUGGUGGAUACGGAGGCUGAGGUGGUGGUGUGAAGGAUACGGAGGCUGAGAUGGUGGUGGACACUGGAGUGGAGGUUUUAGUGGUUAUGGAUAUGGAUGUGGUGGAUACGGAAGUGACGGCUUUGAUGGUGGUGAAUACCUGGGUGAAGGUUGUCCAUAAACACUUAUCCACCAUGUACAUGAACCUAUACACCAAGAACCUAUCCACAAGAGAUACAUCCACUCAUUCUCUUUUACCAAACACUAUAGAUCUAGAUACUCAUCUUUAAUCAUUUUUAGAGCCACAUUCCAAAUUUGUAACAACUUCUGGCGAAAGACAUACAAGGUUCGGUUAGAAAUCCUACUUAUUAUCCAUGCUUUCAUAUCCAUCAGUAUUUUAUCAACGAAUUUUUUGUCCAUAAAUUUG
This is a long non-coding RNA of Raphanus sativus (radish), 985 nucleotides long. RefSeq lists it as uncharacterized. Lineage: Eukaryota; Viridiplantae; Streptophyta; Magnoliopsida; Brassicales; Brassicaceae. The record is from RefSeq and is a predicted model, not a curated record. The transcript has 3 exons.